CCCUUAGAUGUUCUGGGCCGCACGCGCGCUACACUGACGAAUGCAACGAGCUUAUAACCUUGGCCGAAAGGUCUGGGUAAUCUCCAAAUUUCGUCGUGAUGGGGAUAGAUUAUUGCAAUUAUUAAUCUUCAACGAGGAGUGCCUAGUAAGCGCAAGUCAUCAGCUUGCGUUGAUUACGUCCCUGCCCUUUGUACACACCGCCCGUCGCUCCUACCGAUUGAAUGGUCCGGUGAAGCGCUCGGACCGCGGCCUCUUGACGGUUUUCCGUCGAUUGGCUGUGGGAAGUUCGUUAAACCUUAUCAUUUAGAGGAAGGAGAANUCGUAACA
Molecule: ribosomal RNA, 327 nt
Filed under: uncultured eukaryote
Lineage: Eukaryota
Description: partial 18S ribosomal RNA
Rfam family: Eukaryotic small subunit ribosomal RNA
Source: RNAcentral